Molecule: ribosomal RNA, 1085 nt
Filed under: uncultured organism
Description: bacterial SSU rRNA
Rfam family: Bacterial small subunit ribosomal RNA
Source: RNAcentral
CCAAGGCGACGAUGGGUAGCCGGCCUGAGAGGGUGAUCGGCCACACUGGGACUGAGAUACGGCCCAGACUCCUACGGGAGGCAGCAGCUAAGAAUCUUCCGCAAUGGACGAAAGUCUGACGGAGCGACGCCGCGUGGGUGAAGAAGGCCGGAAGGUUGUAAAGCCCUUUUCUCGUUGAGGAAUAAGCACAGGAGGGAAUGCCUGUGCGAUGACGGUAGGCGAGGAAUAAGUCCCGGCCAAUUACGUGCCAGCAGCCGCGGUAACACGUAUGGGACGAGCGUUGUUCGGAAUCAUUGGGCGUAAAGGGCGCGUAGGCGGCGAGGUAAGCCUGGUGUGAAAGACCGCAGCUUAACUGCGGAACCGCGAUAGGAACUGCUUUGCUUGAGUUCAGGAGGGGGAGCUGGAAUUCCAGGUGUAGGGGUGAAAUCUGUAGAUAUCUGGAAGAACACCGGCGGCGAAGGCGAGCUCCUGGCCAUGAACUGACGCUGAGGCGCGAAAGCGUGGGGAGCGAACAGGAUUAGAUACCCUGGUAGUCCACGCUGUAAACGAUGUGCACUAGGUGUUGGGCCACGAAGGUUCAGUGCCGGAGUCAACGCGUUAAGUGCACCGCCUGGGGAGUAUGCUCGCAAGGGUGAAACUCAAAGGAAUUGACGGGGGCCCGCACAAGCGGUGGAGCAUGUGGUUUAAUUCGAUGAUACGCGAGGAACCUUACCAGGGUUUGACAUAUGCCGGAAUGUGCAGGAGACUGCGCAGCCCUUCGGGGCCGGUAUACAGGUGCUGCAUGGCCGUCGUCAGCUCGUGCCGUGAGGUGUUGGGUUAAGUCCCGCAACGAGCGCAACCCCUACCGUCUGUUGCCAGCAUUCAGUUGGGGACUCAGGCGGAACUGCCGGUGACAAACCGGAGGAAGGUGGGGACGACGUCAGGUCAUCAUGGCCCUUAUAUCCUGGGCUACACACGUGCUACAAUGGCCGGUACAGAGCGAAGCAACACCGCGAGGUAGAGCAAAUCGCAGAAAGCCGGUCUCAGUUCGGAUUGGAGUCUGAAACCCGACUCCAUGAAGUUGGAAUCGCUAGUAAUCGCGCAUC